UCCUAGCCAUAGUGGUUAGAACAUCUGCCUCGGAUGCGGGAGGUCGCAGGUUCAAACCCUGGUCAAGUCAUAUCAA
Non-coding RNA from Potamilus streckersoni, 76 nucleotides. NCBI's taxonomy places the organism in Eukaryota, Metazoa, Mollusca, Bivalvia, Unionida, Unionidae. The record is from the annotation of a GenBank genome assembly.